Molecule: non-coding RNA, 118 nt
Organism: Aedes albopictus (Asian tiger mosquito)
Lineage: Eukaryota; Metazoa; Arthropoda; Insecta; Diptera; Culicidae
Source: Rfam
UGCCCAACAACUUCUAUCCCUACCUCCUCGUGGUACCGACCGGAAACUAUGAGCAACCUUAGGGAAGAUCGGGUAACCAACUCCGGUGGGAACUUUGGUCGUAGGUUGACAGGGAAGG